AGCAGUCGCCGCGGGAAUACGGAGGGUGCAAGCGUUAAUCGGAAUUACUGGGCGUAAAGCGCACGCAGGCGGUUUGUUAAGUCAGAUGUGAAAUCCCCGGGCUCAACCUGGGAACUGCAUCUGAUACUGGCAAGCUUGAGUCUCGUAGAGGGGGGUAGAAUUCCAGGUGUAGCGGUGAAAUACGUAGAGAUCUGGAGGAAUACCGGUGGCGAAGGCGGCCCCCUGGACGAAGACUGACGCUCAGGUGCGAAAGCGUGGGGAGCAAACAGGAUUAGAUACCCCUGUAGUCCCUGUCUCUUAUAC
Molecule: ribosomal RNA, 303 nt
Filed under: uncultured bacterium
Lineage: Bacteria
Description: partial 16S ribosomal RNA
Rfam family: Bacterial small subunit ribosomal RNA
Source: RNAcentral